CGGGUGAGUAACGCGUGGGUAACCUACCCUGUACACACGGAUAACAUACCGAAAGGUAUGCUAAUACAGGAUAAUAUAUUUGAGAGGCAUCUCUUGAAUAUCAAAGGUGAGCCAGUACAGGAUGGACCCGCGUCUGAUUAGCUAGUUGGUAAGGUAACGGCUUACCAAGGCGACGAUCAGUAGCCGACCUGAGAGGGUGAUCGGCCACAUUGGAACUGAGACACAGUCCAA
This 231-nucleotide ribosomal RNA is filed under the name uncultured bacterium. RNAcentral's name for it is "partial 16S ribosomal RNA". It matches the Rfam family "Bacterial small subunit ribosomal RNA", at positions 103 to 334 of the family's 1533-position model. The record is from RNAcentral.